Molecule: ribosomal RNA, 398 nt
Filed under: uncultured bacterium
Lineage: Bacteria
Description: bacterial SSU rRNA
Rfam family: Bacterial small subunit ribosomal RNA
Source: RNAcentral
GGGAAUCUUGCACAAUGGAGGAAACUCUGAUGCAGCGACGCCGCGUGAGCGAUGAAGCCCUUCGGGGUGUAAAGCUCUUUCGGCAGGGACGAUAAUGACGGUACCUGAAGAAGAAGCUGCGGCUAACUACGUGCCAGCAGCCGCGGUAAUACGUAGGCAGCGAGCGUUGUUCGGAAUUACUGGGCGUAAAGAGUGUGUAGGCGGUGCUCUAAGUUCGGUGUGAAAUCUCCUGGCUUAACUGGGAGGGUGCGCCGGAAACUGGAGUGCUCGAGCGUGGGAGAGGAAAGCGGAAUUCCUGGUGUAGCGGUGAAAUGCGUAGAUAUCAGGAGGAACACCUGUGGUGUAGACGGCUUUCUGGACCAUUGCUGACGCUGAGACACGAAAGCGUGGGUAGCAAA